This 665-nucleotide ribosomal RNA is filed under the name uncultured bacterium. RNAcentral describes it as "bacterial SSU rRNA". It matches the Rfam family "Bacterial small subunit ribosomal RNA", at positions 232 to 885 of the family's 1533-position model. The record is from RNAcentral.
CGCGGCCUAUCAGCUUGUUGGUGAGGUAACGGCUCACCAAGGCAACGACGGGUAGCUGUUCUGAGAGGAAGAUCAGCAACACUGGAACUGAGACACGGUCCAGACACCUACGGGUGGCAGCAGUCGAGAAUCAUUCACAAUGGGGGAAACCCUGAUGGUGCAACGCCGCGUGGAGGAUGAAGGCCCUAGGGUCGUAAACUCCUGUCAUAUGAGAGUAAGGCAUAGAGGGAAUAAUACCCUUUUAUGUUUGAUAGUAUCAUAAGAGGAAGGGACGGCUAACUUCGUGCCAGCAGCCGCGGUAAUACGAAGGUCCCGAGCGUUAUUCGGAAUCACUGGGCGUAAAGAGUACGUAGGCGGUUUGGUAAGUCAGGUGUGAAAUCCCGGGGCUCAACCCCGGAACUGCACCCGAUACUGCCAGACUGGAGUAAUGGAGAGGCAGGUGGAAUUCUCGGUGUAGCAGUGAAAUGCGUGGAUAUCGAGAGGAAGACCAAUGGCGAAGGCAGCCUGCUGGACAUUUACUGACGCUGAGGUACGAAGGCCAGGGUAGCGAAAGGGAUUAGAUACCCCUGUAGUCCUGGCAGUAAACGGUGCGCGCUUGGUGUGGGAGGAUUCGACCCCUUCCGUGCCGGAGCUAACGCGUUAAGCGCCCCGCCUGGGGAGUACGG